GAGGCCAGAGAGCAGCGGCGCUGCCCCGUCACAAACCCGGGAGCGCUCACACACCAGGCGCGGGUGAUCGCACUCACCACAGACUGGUCCCUGGGGCUGAUCUCUGUCAAAGCCACUCCUCAAAUCGGCUUUUCUUCAGAAUUCCAAAAGUGAGGAGAAAUUAUGGCAGAGAGAAGCGACGGCUGAAGGGACAACAACAGCUAAAGUGGUUGGCGAACAUUGGUCGUGCAGAUAUCAAGAUUGAAAAUAUUGGGAAUUAUCGCGUUUGCUGACUGCAUUUCAUCAAAACUUGUAAAGACACUCGUGAUGCUGUGGAACGGAAUGACAAUGGAAGAUGGAAUGGAAUCAGUGUCUCACUCCGAUCACCUUCAAUAUUCAGGAAAGAAUGGGAGACAUUGUCUGACAAAUGGAAACAGAAAG
Molecule: long non-coding RNA, 420 nt
Organism: Leucoraja erinaceus (little skate)
Lineage: Eukaryota; Metazoa; Chordata; Chondrichthyes; Rajiformes; Rajidae
Exons: 3
Source: RefSeq, a predicted model, not a curated record